This 1235-nucleotide long non-coding RNA is filed under the name Homo sapiens (human). RNAcentral's name for it is "HSALNT0382150". Lineage: Eukaryota; Metazoa; Chordata; Mammalia; Primates; Hominidae. The record is from RNAcentral.
ACCUGGACUGGAGGGGCCCUGGGCCCGUUUUCCCCAGCAAGGGGACAGGAGUAGCUUUUUCUGAGGGAGGACAACGAAGUCUUUACUCACCCCUCUGCCUCUGCGUCUUUUUGCUGGACUUUGCUGCCGCCUAGUGGCUCAGUUGUCAUCACUUCCUUCUCUGAGAGAGAGACAGCCAGCCUUGGAUUGAGUUUGAGGAUCUAGCCUCUCAGUCUAGUCCUGAGGCAACCUGGAGAUCCUUCUCUGAGAAGUUUCUCUGCUCUAGGACUCCCUGGUUCUGUGGCCCAGCAGCUAGGAGAGAGGAGCACCAUGGGCUUCUAGGCCUCACUCAGUCUGGCAGUCAGGCUCUGGGUCAUAGAAAAGGCCACACGAGCUUUCUGGCUCUGAACUCCGUAUGUUAAUUCCUGGAUCAGAGGCAUAAUCCUGUUUGAGCCAGGGACAUUGCUUUGGAGUUGCUCAGAGAAAAUGGGUAAGUAUUCCCGGUGUCCACCCAACAGAGGCAGAGGGCUGUGGGGGUUUGCUGUGGCCACCCUCACUCUUCCCCAUAUGCCAAGUCCUUUGAGAUUUGCAGAGUACUUGGGAUUAUAGGAAUGACUUGGGCUCCAUCAGUCUCCUGGGGGCUGAGUAUGUCAGUAAGAGUACCUGUAGUGAGUAGUCAGAGGAUAAAAAUGAACUUUCUAUACCAUAAUACACUAGAAAAAUCAAGUUUUUUAUUUUAAAAUAUUUUCAAAGGCUAAGGCCAUAGCAAAACAACCCAAGGGUGGUUGAAUCAAACUCAGGGAAUUAGAGGAGCAUCAGCCAAUGCAAGCAGGUCUAUAUAAAAUACACAUCAUUUAUAAAUGCACACAGCAGAAAGCACAGUGGCCCCAGAGGACCAGGCAGGGGGACAACAGAGAGAAACAGAGCACUAUCUGGAGGGACAGGCACACCCGCAACACUCAAAGCCCUGGGCCCCAAGUGCACCUCCAAAGUCACCUACGCUGCAGCAUGGCUCUUGCCCUUUCUGAGCCUGGGUAUAGCUGAAGACCAAGUUCACCAGCAUCUUGGCACAUCCACCUAUAACUGGCACCUCUCAUGGCCUCUGACAACCAAGCAAGGCUCAGAGAAUGGAUUUUUAUCUCUGUCUUUCAGCAAGGACCAGGGAGAAGUGCUGAAGCAAGAAGGGUUAUUUUCCUAAAAAAAAAAGACGGAUGAAAGGGUGAAAGGGGCUGGUUCCAAAAAAAAAAAAAAAAAAA